RNAcentral lists this non-coding RNA (29 nucleotides) under Mus musculus (house mouse). Lineage: Eukaryota; Metazoa; Chordata; Mammalia; Rodentia; Muridae. The record is from RNAcentral.
UGGUCUUAUAAACAGUGUCCUUCGCCUUA